AAUGAAUACGGAGAUGAUAGGGAUUUAGGAGACAGACUGCAGAGUGAAGAUUACAUCAGAGAGGAAAGCAAGAGAGCAUUAAAUUUGGCAUGUUGAUGGCUCUUCUAGUGAGGAAGUAAUACAUCUUAAUCAUCAAGUUAAGAUGGAUAUUCUUAUCAUGUAAAUAUAAAGCCAUCCUUAUUUGUAACUAUAAUCGGCCAUGAUAGUGACGAAAGCACAUUUGGUUCACAAAGGAAGCUUGGGCAACAAUGAUAUUGGAGUCGCCACUAGAACAAGAGGUGAUUUCCUGUGCAUCCCUAAACCAAACUGCUCUUCCAUGUCAAUAUCUUCUUU
Molecule: long non-coding RNA, 333 nt
Filed under: Elaeis guineensis (African oil palm)
Lineage: Eukaryota; Viridiplantae; Streptophyta; Magnoliopsida; Arecales; Arecaceae
Description: long non-coding RNA (EGUI_LNC022196)
Source: RNAcentral